UACAGAGGUCCCAAGCGUUGUUCGGAUUCACUGGGCGUAAAGGGUGCGUAGGUGGUUAGGUAAGUCCGGUGUGAAAUCUCCAGGCUCAACCUGGAAAUGGCAUUGGAUACUAUUUAGCUUGAGGAGUGGAGGGGGGACUGGAAUUCUCGGUGUAGCAGUGAAAUGCGUAGAUAUCGAGAGGAACACCAGUGGCGAAGGCGAGUCCCUGGACACUUCCUGACACUGAGGCACGAAAGCUAGGGGAGCAAACAGG
This 253-nucleotide ribosomal RNA is filed under the name Deltaproteobacteria bacterium. RNAcentral's name for it is "partial 16S ribosomal RNA". It matches the Rfam family "Bacterial small subunit ribosomal RNA", at positions 524 to 776 of the family's 1533-position model. RNAcentral also lists the same sequence under 1 other name. Lineage: Bacteria; Pseudomonadati; Myxococcota; Myxococcia. The record is from RNAcentral.